UUCAAUAAUAAGCUGCUACAAGAAUUCUAUAAAUAAGCCAUAAGCUGAAGCUAUUUUGAGAAGCAAGAAAUUCUUUAAUCCUUCUCUGCACUUUUUCCAAGAUUUAGAGCUUUUAUACUUCUUUCAAUAUUCUCUUUUCUCUUCCGAAGAUGAAAGACAAAUUCUCAUGCACCAUUCUCCAGAGCGAAGCUCUCUCUAAGUAUCUUUUGGAAACAAGCGCCUACCCGAGAGAGCAUGAAACACUCAAAGAACUCAGGAACGCCAGUGCUGAGAAAUACCAACAGCUGAGUGCGAUGAACGUGCCAGCAGAUGAAGGCCAAUUUAUUUCAUUACUAUUGAAAGUAAUGAAUGCAAAGAAAACAAUUGAAGUUGGAGUUUUCACCGGCUACUCACUUUUGGUCACUGCCCUUGCUCUCCCUCAUGAUGCCAAAAUAGUGGCCAUUGACCCAGACAGAGAGGCAUACGAGACUGGGUUGCCGUACAUUGAGAAGGCAGGUGUGGCACAUAUAUACAGCUAGCAAAUCUUAAUGAUAUAUAAAAUUGAUAUUGUGAAAUAAAUAAAUGUAUAGGGAGAAGAAGGGACAUUUGAUUUUGCAUUCGUGGAUGCUGACAAAGAGAACUACGUCAACUACCACGAGCAACUCUUGAAGCUGGUCAAGCUUGGAGGAAUUAUAGCCUACGACAACACCCUGUGGUCCGGCACCGUGGCAUUGGUCGACGAAGAGUUGAGCCAGGAGUGGAUCGAUCGUAUUGGGGAGCAUCGCAUAAAUCUCAGGAAGUUGAACACUUUCUUGGCUGCCGAUUCUCGUAUUGAGUUGGCUCACCUUUCGAUCGGCGAUGGGCUCACACUCUGCAGGCGCGUUAAAUAAAUUAAUAUUAAUCAUUAAUUAAUAUUAUACAAAAUUGUUUUUCUUUUAUUAUACUAUUUAUAUUUGUGUUUCUAAAUAAGCGUGCUCUCAUGGGAUAUUGGGAUGGUUGUUUGAGUUUUUUUUUUUGGUUCUUUUCUUUUCUCUUUGAUGCAAUGUUGAUUAAAGUUUUAAUGUUAUGUAUUUUAUUAUGGAAUUUACUUUAAUUCAAUGAAUUUAAUUUCGAGUUAUU
Non-coding RNA from Erythranthe guttata (spotted monkey flower), 1098 nucleotides. The record is from RefSeq and is a predicted model, not a curated record. NCBI's taxonomy places the organism in Eukaryota, Viridiplantae, Streptophyta, Magnoliopsida, Lamiales, Phrymaceae.